This 253-nucleotide ribosomal RNA is filed under the name uncultured bacterium. RNAcentral's name for it is "partial 16S ribosomal RNA". It matches the Rfam family "Bacterial small subunit ribosomal RNA", at positions 524 to 776 of the family's 1533-position model. The record is from RNAcentral.
UACAGAGGUCUCAAGCGUUGUUCGGAUUCAUUGGGCGUAAAGGGUGCGUAGGCGGCUCGGUAAGUCGGAUGUGAAAUCUCGGAGCUUAACUUCGAAAAUGCAUUCGAUACUGCCGUGCUUGAGGACUGGAGAGGAGACUGGAAUUUACGGUGUAGCGGUGAAAUGCGUAGAUAUCGUAAGGAAGACCAGUGGCGAAGGCGGGUCUCUGGACAGUCACUGACGCUGAGGCACGAAGGUCAGGGGAGCAAACGGG